Herpailurus yagouaroundi (jaguarundi) is the source of this 1471-nucleotide long non-coding RNA. RefSeq lists it as uncharacterized. The record is from RefSeq and is a predicted model, not a curated record. The transcript has 2 exons. NCBI's taxonomy places the organism in Eukaryota, Metazoa, Chordata, Mammalia, Carnivora, Felidae.
GAAUGACCAAGUGCAUGCUGGCCACUGGGAGUGGAUUGGUGGUGAACCUGUCGUCUUCACCAACUGGAGGAAAGGCCCCCUUCAACGUUCAAAGCCUGGGAAGAACUGUGUUUUGGCUCAAAGACAAGGGAAAUGGCAAACGCAGGACUGUAGCAAGAGCAGACCUCACAGUUACGUGUGCUCCAGGAAACUCGAAAAGUAACUAGCCUUACAGUUUAUGAGUGAUUCUAUCUGGUAAAAAAGGAACAUAGAAGAAGAGUUCCAGGAAGAUCGAUCAAUGAAUAUUUCUUUAGGGAAGACAGACAAUUCUUGGAUUUCAAUACAUUUCAGAAUAAAUGCCUGAAGUAUUAUAUGGUCCAAGAUUUGCUGAUUCCAGGAGACUCCCACCCUGACCCCACUCCAUAUCUGAGUCAGUACCAAUUUCAUGGUCCUUGGAUUUUUUUUAAAUCCCAAUAUCUCAAAUGAGCCCAUUCCAAAAUCUGUAUUGCUGGUGCUUCUCCCACUUCAGUCUGAGUAAAAGAAAUUCUACCGGUUCCUUAAAUCACAGCUGAGGUGCCAUCGUUGCUUUGUCCCUUUGGAGGUCUUUCACAUGUGAACCCUAAGAUAAGAGGCUGUGGAUAAAAAGAGUAUUGUGCGUGGUGGAAAAGGAAAGCUUUACAUGGGCGAAUCUCACAGAUGGAAACUCAUUUGCAAAGCUCUAGUUCAAGUGGGAAUUCAGAGGCUACCUGUACCCUAGAGGUCUACCCAUCACCACUCGUGAGACAGAUUGCUUUCUUCAAUGAAAAUGUUGGCCUUGUACCAUUCCAAAGCCAAUCAUUCCAUUUCCCUGGCCUUAUAGAUUCAUGAGAAAUCUGAAGCCACCCGAACCUCUCUUUUCAUUUGUGUGUGUAGUACGCAGUGACAUUUGUCAAGGACGUUUGAAAUAGAGUAUAUGUGAAUGAGGGUUACAAGUUGGAAGAAAAACGCUGCUUCCUCAGAAGUGUCCCAAUGAACUAUGUUGAUGAACAAAGAAAAAUAAUACUGAAAACAGAGCCCUUGAAAACCUAUAUUCUCAGGAAGGAUUUUGAUAUAAUUUUGAGCCCUGAAGUCUUUAAUAUUUGUAGAAAUGGCACGCUAACUUGAUUCGCUAACAUAAAGGUACCUUAUUAAUUUAUAAUAUCAGCAGAACAAAACAUUUUUGUACCAGUGAGACGUGUUGCAGCCUUACAAGAACUCCCAUCUGAAAUCAAGGUUUAAUUACAGGAAAUUAGAAAUUUACUUCUGAAGCAUGCGCUCUAAAUUUUCCUCUUUUCAUAAUCACUGAAAAGAACGGUUGUGCCAAAUGUAACUUUCUCUCUGAGCACCGGUGUAAUUUCAGCAUCAAAAUGGGGUUCCCAAGUAGACGAAAGCUUUGGUGCAGGUUUUAUUAUAAUAACAUGUUCAGCAAAACUAAAAUAAACUGAAGAGAUUCAGUCCGAUUUCUGGAUAUAAC